GUGGAUUAGAUACCCUGGUAGUCCACGCCUUAAACGAUGGAUACUAGUUGUCGGGAAGUUUAACUUCUUGGUGACGCAGCUAACGCAAUAAGUAUCCCGCCUGGGGAGUACGGCCGCAAGGUUAAAACUCAAAGGAAUUGACGGGGGCCCGCACAAGCGGUGGAGCAUGUGGUUCAAUUCGAUGCAACGCGAAAAACCUUACCUACCCUUGACAUCUACAGAACUUUGCAGAGAUGCAGAGGUGCCUUCGGGAACUGUAAGACAGGUGCUGCACGGCCGUCGACAGCU
RNAcentral lists this ribosomal RNA (288 nucleotides) under uncultured bacterium. RNAcentral describes it as "partial 16S ribosomal RNA". It matches the Rfam family "Bacterial small subunit ribosomal RNA", at positions 773 to 1060 of the family's 1533-position model. The record is from RNAcentral.